Molecule: small nuclear RNA, 107 nt
Filed under: Carlito syrichta (Philippine tarsier)
Lineage: Eukaryota; Metazoa; Chordata; Mammalia; Primates; Tarsiidae
Source: RNAcentral
GUGCUUGCUUCAACAGCACAUAUACUAAAAUUGGAACGGUACAGACAAGAUUAGCAUGGCCCCUGUGCAAGGAUACCAUGCAAAUUCAUGAAGCAUUCUAUAUUUUU